AGAGAUGCCUCCGCCGCUCUCCGGCGCCCCCAAAGAGACCCGCAGCCUCUGCGGCCUGCUCGUCGCGUCCGUCGUCUCCGUCCUGUUCAUCCUCUCCCUCUCGCUCUCACCUUCCUCCUCUUCUCUGUUCUCCCACUCCCGCUCCUCUCCGGCGUCUUUUCUCCUCUCGACGUCUGCUGCCGACGUCACCGCUUCGAUCUUGUCCGGAAGCCCCGUGCCUUCCCCUCCCUCCCUCGCUUACUUCAUUUCGGGCUCCGACGGGGACGCGGAUCGCCUGCUCAGGCUCCUCUCCGCCGUAUACCAUCCUAGGAACGUGUACCUCUUGCAUCUCGACCUA
Molecule: long non-coding RNA, 337 nt
Filed under: Spirodela polyrhiza (greater duckweed)
Lineage: Eukaryota; Viridiplantae; Streptophyta; Magnoliopsida; Alismatales; Araceae
Description: long non-coding RNA (SPOL_LNC000160)
Source: RNAcentral